RNAcentral lists this ribosomal RNA (846 nucleotides) under uncultured organism. RNAcentral's name for it is "bacterial SSU rRNA". It matches the Rfam family "Bacterial small subunit ribosomal RNA", at positions 15 to 845 of the family's 1533-position model. The record is from RNAcentral.
GAUCCUGGCUCAGAACGAACGCUGGCGGCGUGGAUAAGACAUGCAAGUCGAACGGGGUUAUUUUGUUAGUUUACUAAUAAAAUAACCUAGUGGCGCACGGGUGCGUAACACGUGAGAAUCAACCUAAAAGUGGGGGAUAGCUCGCCGAAAGGCGAAUUAAUACCGCAUGUGGAGGUAACUUUAAAGCUGGGGCUCCUUCGGGACCUGGCGCUUUUAGACGAGCUCGCGGCCUAUCAGCUUGUUGGUGAGGUAAUGGCUCACCAAGGCUCUGACGGGUAGCUGGUCUGAGAGGACGAUCAGCCACACUGGAACUGAGACACGGUCCAGACACCUACGGGUGGCAGCAGUCGAGAAUCAUUCGCAAUGGGGGAAACCCUGACGGUGCGACGCCGCGUGGAGGACGAAGGCUCUAGGGUCGUAAACUCCUGUCACCACAGAACAAGGGUAGCGGAUUAAUACCCCGCUGAUUUGAUGGUAUGUGGAGAGGAAGCCACGGCUAACUCUGUGCCAGCAGCCGCGGUAAUACAGAGGUGGCAAGCGUUGUUCGGAUUUACUGGGCGUAAAGCGUGCGUAGGGGGCCGGCAAAGUCUGAUGUGAAAUCUCACCGCUUACCGGUGAAACUGCAUUGGAUACUGGUCGGCUCGAGGAUCGGAGGGGAGAGCGGAAUUCCAGGUGUAGCGGUGAAAUGCGUAGAUAUCUGGAGGAACACCGGCGGCGAAGGCGGCUCUCUGGAAGAUUCCUGACCCUGAGGCACGAAGGCCAGGGGAGCGAACGGGAUUAGAUACCCCGGUAGUCCUGGCAGUAAACGUUGCUCACUAGGUGUUGGUGGAUUCGACCCCAUCAGUG